ACACCUCAACUCUCAUGGCUUGCCGUGAUGAGCUUGGACUUUGGGGGUCUUGCCGGCCUGUGGUCGGCUCCUCUCAAAUGAAUCAGCUUGCCAGCGUUUGGUGGCAUCACAGGUGUGAUAACUAUCUACGCUUGUGGUUUUCCACCAGGUAACCUUCGGUGAUGGAGGUUUGCUGGGGCUCAUAAACGUCUCUCCUCGGUGAGGACAGCUCUUUGAAC
This 218-nucleotide unclassified non-coding RNA is filed under the name uncultured Tomentella. RNAcentral's name for it is "sequence contains ITS2". The record is from RNAcentral. Lineage: Eukaryota; Fungi; Basidiomycota; Agaricomycetes; Thelephorales; Thelephoraceae.